RNAcentral lists this ribosomal RNA (351 nucleotides) under Psylliodes marcidus. RNAcentral describes it as "partial 16S ribosomal RNA". The record is from RNAcentral. Lineage: Eukaryota; Metazoa; Arthropoda; Insecta; Coleoptera; Chrysomelidae.
SUUUUGACCGUGCUAAGGUAGCAUAAUCAUUAGUUUUUUAAUUAAAGGCUGGADUGAAGGGUUGAAUGAAAAAAUGACUGUCUCUUAUAAAUUUUAUUAGAAUUUUAUUUUUAAGUUAAAAAGCUUAAAUAUAUUUGAAAGACGAGAAGACCCUAUAGAGUUUAAUAUAAUUUAAUUUUUAAUGGUUAAGAAUUUAAUUUUUAAUUAUAAUAUUAUAUUUAAUUGGGGUGAUUAAAAAAUUUAAUASSCUUUUUUUUUAUUUUAAUAUAAAUURAUAAAUAUUUGAUCCAAAUUUUUUGAUUAUAAGAAUAAAUUACCUUAGGGAUAACAGCGUAAUUAUACUGGAGAGUU